This 502-nucleotide ribosomal RNA is filed under the name uncultured bacterium. Its description in RNAcentral is "bacterial SSU rRNA". It matches the Rfam family "Bacterial small subunit ribosomal RNA", at positions 28 to 511 of the family's 1533-position model. The record is from RNAcentral.
GAUGAACGCUAGCGACAGGCCUAACACAUGCAAGUCGAGGGGCAGCAUGGUAUCAGCUUGCUGAUACCGAUGGCGACCGGCGCACGGGUGAGUAACGCGUAUGUAAUCUGCCUGUAACAGAGGGAUAACCCGGAGAAAUCCGGCCUAAUACCUCAUAGCACAUAUUAUUCGCAUGAGUUUUAUGUUAAAGAGACUCGGUUACAGAUGAACAUGCGUUCCAUUAGCUGGUUGGCGGGGUAACGGCCCACCAAGGCAACGAUGGAUAGGGGUUCUGAGAGGAAGGUCCCCCACACUGGUACUGAGACACGGACCAGACUCCUACGGGAGGCAGCAGUGAGGAAUAUUGGUCAAUGGGCGAGAGCCUGAACCAGCCAAGUCGCGUGGAGGAAGACGGCCCUACGGGGUUGUAAAACCUCCCUUUUUUAACCUGGGGAAAUAACGGGCGCUACGCGUAGCGCUGUGCAUGUACCGGGAGAAUAAGCAUCGGCUAAUUCCGUGCCAG